RNAcentral lists this long non-coding RNA (813 nucleotides) under Homo sapiens (human). RNAcentral's name for it is "HSALNT0379853". The record is from RNAcentral. Lineage: Eukaryota; Metazoa; Chordata; Mammalia; Primates; Hominidae.
UACAGUUUUCAAUAUACAUAUGGUAUGAAAUAAUUUCCUAUUGAAGUCAUCUUAACAUGGAACCAGAAUUAAAUCCUAACAACAAUCAUGUGAGCCUGGGGAGGAUCCUUCCCCACGUGAGCCUUCAGGGGAGACUUCAGCCUUGGCCAUCUUCUACAUCUAGAUUCCUGACCAAGAGAAGCUGUUUAGAAUAGUUCACCAGUGAAGUCAUCUCAACCAGCACAGGGCCUUGACUCCUAACAACAAUCACACGAACUUGGAAGAGGAGCCUUCCCCAACUGAACCUUCGCUUGAGACCUCGUCCUUGGCCAUCCUCUACAUCUGGAUUCAUGAUACAGAGAAACUUGAGUAAUGAUGACACUAGCAGUCCAGCCUGCAUGGAUGCUGACAUGGAUGCUGUCUCCCAUUCUUACCACUGGAUGGGAAGAAAUGCUAGAUGCAAUCCAGCCAGUCUGUACUCGACUGUCAGUUCCAUCUUCUCAACUCACAGUGUCUUCCAAAGUCCGUGCCACACCACAGCCUGGAACAUCUCCCAAGGUUUCAAAUAAUUCAUCAGUGAAUUCUUCUCAACCUGGUCAAUCAUGUGAACUUAGAAGAUGAUUCCUCCCCAGCUGAUCCUCAGGUGAGACAUCAGCCUUGGCCAUCAUCUACAUCUGGAUUCCUGACCCAGAGAAACUGCCUCUCUGGAUGGUGACUAUAACCUAUAGCCUUGCCCAAUAUGACUCAGGAUUUGGUACUGGCUGUGCCUUUCAUGGGAUGCUUACUUAUCCUGGUCGAUGGCCUAAAGCCCAACCGUCCAGCUUAUAUCCAGGG